This 371-nucleotide ribosomal RNA is filed under the name uncultured bacterium. Its description in RNAcentral is "bacterial SSU rRNA". It matches the Rfam family "Bacterial small subunit ribosomal RNA", at positions 32 to 377 of the family's 1533-position model. The record is from RNAcentral.
AAUCAACGCUGGCGGCGUGCCUCAGACAUGCAAGUCGAACGCGAAAUUUCCCUUCGGGGAGAAAGUAGAGUGGCGCACGGGUGAGUAACACGUAGGUAAUUUGCCUUUGGGUGGGGAAUAACUCAGGAAACUUGAGCUAAUACCGCAUAAUGCAGCGGCUCGACAUCGAGACAGUUGUUAAAGCGGGGGAUUGGAGCAAUCCGACCUCGCGCCUAAAGAGAAGCCUGCGGCAGAUUAGCUAGUUGGUAAGGUAAUGGCUUACCAAGGCGACGAUCUGUAACCGGCCUGAGAGGGCGGUCGGUCACACUGACACUGACAUACGGUCAGAACUCCUAACGGGAGCAGCAGUCGGGAAUUUUGGGCAAUGGGCG